UGAUUAAAACCAGCUUCUUCACUUUUGGAGCGUGACAAACUAGUCCCACAGACGCACGAGUGCUGGUGUAGAUGUUUAAAAAAUCAGCUCGGUUGCAUACAGCUCGAUAUUGCAUUCAGCAUGUCAACAUCACCACGUCAUUAUCUACAUCGUAAAGCUGAAUACGCAUAUUGUCCCUGUCCCGCCUGGCUGGCACGCCUUCUGUCAUGUCCACCGGCGCCGUUCACAACAGGUAAAAUCGCGUCUCUAUAUGAACACUGCAACUCGAAGUUUUGUUAUCUUUCCAUUUUUCUGCCAUCAACAUGGUUAAAACAGUGUUAAAACCCCCGUUUUUCAACGAAGGAUUGAGCCAAGAGCACUUUUCUCCAUGGUCAGUGAAUAAGGAAUAAUGGCGGGUAAGUAGGCGAGAAGAUAAAACCCCUCCAAAAAUCGAGCUUCGUAUGGGCAAUUAGUAUGACACAUUGCCUCGUUGAGUUACUAGACCGUCUCAUAGGAGGUACAAAUAAAAAAGUCGCGCCAAGACACGCCGACCCAAAUACCUUCGUAUACACUCCCGUGACUGCCCCGGGGUUUUUUGUUUCGAAAAGUGGUCUUUUUGUUGGUAUUUUCGGAGCCAGAAAAAUACGCCUCGGCGUGAUGACUCCCCCGAUAUGGGACUUUUAUUGAGUCAUAGACCAACAUUUGGUAUUUCUCCGUCCGCUUCGGGGGCGCUUUUCGUUGAAAAGCAUGCGUCGCUCAGCGCGCCAAUUGGCGACGGCGCGGUACUCCGACGAGGAGACCUUCACCCGAUCAAAGCCGCGCGCCGUAGGCAAGAUAUCGUAGGUAAGCCCGAACCCCAAUCACACGCGCGAAACGCGAGGCCCGAUGCGCGUGAGAUGGUGCCCCGUUUCGCGACGUGUCGACGGAUGGAGCCCAUCUUAGAUUUUGUUUUUCGUCCCCGGGACGCGCCGGUCGGGGCACCAUCUCACGCGCAUCGGGCCGCGCGCUUCGCGCGUGUGAGUG
This 1002-nucleotide long non-coding RNA is filed under the name Micromonas commoda. Its description in RNAcentral is "long non-coding RNA (MCOM_LNC000082)". The record is from RNAcentral. Lineage: Eukaryota; Viridiplantae; Chlorophyta; Mamiellophyceae; Mamiellales; Mamiellaceae.